RNAcentral lists this ribosomal RNA (425 nucleotides) under uncultured bacterium. RNAcentral describes it as "bacterial SSU rRNA". It matches the Rfam family "Bacterial small subunit ribosomal RNA", at positions 354 to 796 of the family's 1533-position model. The record is from RNAcentral.
GUGGGGAAUCUUGCACAAUGGGGGAAACCCUGAUGCAGCGACGCCGCGUGAGCGAUGAAGCCCUUCGGGGUGUAAAGCUCUUUCGACGGGAACGAUAAUGACGGUACCCGGAGAAGAAGCUGCGGCUAACUACGUGCCAGCAGCCGCGGUAAUACGUAGGCAGCAAGCGUUGUUCGGAAUUACUGGGCGUAAAGAGUGCGUAGGCGGUGCUCUAAGUUUGGUGUGAAAUCUCCCGGCUUAACUGGGAGGGUGCGCCGAAGACUGGAGAACUUGAGUGUGGGAGAGGAAAGCGGAAUUCCUGGUGUAGCGGUGAAAUGCGUAGAUAUCAGGAGGAACACCUGCGGUGUAGACAGCUUUCUGGACCACCACUGACGCUGAGGCACGAAAGCGUGGGUAGCAAACAGGAUUAGAAACCCCUGUAGUCC